This 253-nucleotide ribosomal RNA is filed under the name uncultured bacterium. Its description in RNAcentral is "partial 16S ribosomal RNA". It matches the Rfam family "Bacterial small subunit ribosomal RNA", at positions 524 to 776 of the family's 1533-position model. The record is from RNAcentral.
UACGAAGGGGGCUAGCGUUGCUCGGAAUCACUGGGCGUAAAGGGUGCGUAGGCGGGUUUUUAAGUCAGGGGUGAAAUCCUGGAGCUCAACUCCAGAACUGCCUUUGAUACUGAAGGGCUUGAGUUCGGGAGAGGUGAGUGGAACUGCGAGUGUAGAGGUGAAAUUCGUAGAUAUUCGCAAGAACACCAGUGGCGAAGGCGGCUCACUGGCCCGAUACUGACGCUGAGGCACGAAAGCGUGGGGAGCAAACAGG